AUAGCAUUAUACAGCGAAACUGCGAAUGGCUCAUUAUAUAAGUUAUCGUUUAUUUGAUAGUACCUUACUACUUGGAUAACCGUGGUAAUUCUAGAGCUAAUACAUGCUAAAAAUCCCGACUUCGGAAGGGAUGUAUUUAUUAGAUUAAAAACCAAUGCCCUUCGGGGCUCACUGGUGAUUCAUGAUAACUCCUCGAAUCGCAUGGCCUUGUGCCGGCGAUGGUUCAUUCAAAUUUCUUCCCUAUCAACUUUCGAUGUUUGGGUAUUGGCCAAACAUGGUUGCAACGGGUAA
Molecule: ribosomal RNA, 291 nt
Filed under: Fusarium fujikuroi
Lineage: Eukaryota; Fungi; Ascomycota; Sordariomycetes; Hypocreales; Nectriaceae
Description: partial small subunit ribosomal RNA
Rfam family: Eukaryotic small subunit ribosomal RNA
Source: RNAcentral